CCUACGGGAGGCUGCAGUGGGGAAUAUUGCACAAUGGGGGAAACCCUGAUGCAGCGACGCCGCGUGAAUGAAGAAGUACUUCGUGAUGUAAAGCUCUAUCAGCAGGGAAGAAAAUGACGGUACCUGACCAAGAAGCCCCGGCCACAUACGUUCCAGCAGCCGCGGUAAUACGUAGGGUGCAAGCGUUAUCCGGAUGUACUGGGGGUAAAGGGAGCGUAGACGGCAGGGCAAGUCAGGAGUGAAAGUCUGGGGCUCAACCCCCGGACUGCCGUGGAAACUGCCAGGCUGGAGUGCAGGAGAGGUAAGUGGAAUUCCUAGUGUAGCGGUGAAAUGCGUAGAUAUUAGGAGGAACACCAGUGGCGAAGGCGGCUUACUGGACUGUAACUGACGUUGAGGCUCGAAAGCGUGGGGAGCAAACAGGAUUAGAUACCCCGGUAGUC
This 440-nucleotide ribosomal RNA is filed under the name uncultured bacterium. RNAcentral's name for it is "partial 16S ribosomal RNA". It matches the Rfam family "Bacterial small subunit ribosomal RNA", at positions 338 to 795 of the family's 1533-position model. The record is from RNAcentral.